Molecule: ribosomal RNA, 253 nt
Filed under: uncultured bacterium
Lineage: Bacteria
Description: partial 16S ribosomal RNA
Rfam family: Bacterial small subunit ribosomal RNA
Source: RNAcentral
GACAGAGGUUCCGAGCGUUAGGCGGAAUCACUGGGCUUAAAGCGUGUGUAGGCGGAUUUGUAAGUACCUUGUGAAAUCCCACGGCUCAACCGUGGAACUGCUUGGUAUACUGCUUAUCUUGGGCCAUCUAGGGGCUACCGGAACAAGUGGUGGAGCGGUGAAAUGCGUAGAUAUCACUUGGAACGCCAAUGGUGAAAACAGGUAGCUGGGGAUGUGCCGACGCUGAGACACGAAAGCCAGGGGAGCGAACGGG